AAAUAUUUGCCGCCGGGUAAAUGUUGUAUACCAUUCCAUUAGGCCUUUGAAGGAGUGGUAUUACGACAUUUUUCGCU
RNAcentral lists this non-coding RNA (77 nucleotides) under unclassified sequences. The record is from RNAcentral.